RNAcentral lists this ribosomal RNA (253 nucleotides) under uncultured bacterium. RNAcentral's name for it is "partial 16S ribosomal RNA". It matches the Rfam family "Bacterial small subunit ribosomal RNA", at positions 524 to 776 of the family's 1533-position model. The record is from RNAcentral.
UACGUAGGGGGCAAGCGUUGUCCGGAAUCAUUGGGCGUAAAGGGCGUGUAGGCGGCCCGGCAAGUCCGCUGUGAAAGUCCAGGGCUCAACCCUGGGAUGCCGGUGGAUACUGUCGGGCUCGAGUCCGGAAGAGGAGUGUGGAAUUCCCGGUGUAGCGGUGAAAUGCGCAGAUAUCAGGAGGAACACCAAGUGCGAAGGCAGCUCGCUGGGACGUGACUGACGCUGAGACGCGAAAGCGUGGGGAGCAAACAGG